This is a long non-coding RNA of Salvelinus sp. IW2-2015, 763 nucleotides long. RefSeq lists it as uncharacterized. The record is from RefSeq and is a predicted model, not a curated record. Lineage: Eukaryota; Metazoa; Chordata; Actinopteri; Salmoniformes; Salmonidae.
GCAGUAAUGAUACAAAAUAAAAUCUGUUAAAGACAGAUAGCUUGAGAACCUAAAAAUAAUUACAGAUAAAUGAUUCUGAAUGUUCAGCCUCCUUGUCCUCUGCAACAUGACAUUAGCCCACAGUUGCUAUAUGAGACAUCUGUGGUUUUCCUGUGAACAAGCCCCACAUCUACAUUUCUAUUGAAACAUGUAUUCUUUGUCCCAGUCACAGCCACCAUCUUCUGUAAAGUCAGACUAACAGUAUGUACGUAUCUCUCUAAAUAAUUACGUUGUUCAUCCCUGAUAUGGCUGGUCAUCUGUUUUUGCUCAUCCUCCUUUUCGAUACCUUCCAGUACAUCAAAGCCAAAGAUCUUCCUCGGCCCAGUCUAACAGUGAUUCCUGCAGUCAUCAAUGAGAGAGACUCUGUUCAGCUGAACUGUCAGACUCCUCCAUCUGUCUCUGAGUGUUACUUCAAAAUGGAAGGGCAAGUGGAAUUCACCCUACCAUCACCCUGUCAUCAGACACUCACAGGAACACUACUGGUGAAGUGGACAGGUCAGAGUUCACCAGCUGAGGUCAAAAUAAAAUGUCAGUACAGUGCUACAGGUUCACAGUUUAGAUCCAUAUACAGUGAGCCAUCUACAGUCACAAUUCAGGGUAAGAAUAUUAUUUGAAUGGUUGUAAACAAUGUACUGUUGUGCCAUCAUUACCAUGUUCCUCUUGUGAUAUGUUAUCAUACUGUGUGUUGUCAUAAGCUAUUACAUGAAACAAUCAAGCAAUAUAU